GAUCCUGGCUCAGGAUGAACGCUAGCUACAGGCUUAACACAUGCAAGUCGAGGGGCAGCAUGGUCUUAGCUUGCUAAGACUGAUGGCGACUGGCGCACGGGUGAGUAACACGUAUCCAACCUGCCGUCUACUCUUGGACAGCCUUCUGAAAGGAAGAUUAAUACAAGAUGGCAUCAUGAGUCCGCAUGUUCACAUGAUUAAAGGUAUUCCCGGGUAGACGAG
This 222-nucleotide ribosomal RNA is filed under the name uncultured bacterium. Its description in RNAcentral is "partial 16S ribosomal RNA". It matches the Rfam family "Bacterial small subunit ribosomal RNA", at positions 15 to 226 of the family's 1533-position model. The record is from RNAcentral.